Molecule: long non-coding RNA, 2275 nt
Filed under: Taeniopygia guttata (zebra finch)
Lineage: Eukaryota; Metazoa; Chordata; Aves; Passeriformes; Estrildidae
Description: lncRNA (ENSTGUG00000027270.1)
Source: RNAcentral
GGUACCAGAGGUAACAGCACCAUCAGGUUCUCCCGCAGAUGCACUGCCUCCUGCUCUUGCCUGCCCACCUCUCUCUGUCUUUUCCAGGCAGUUCAGGACAGCUUCCCAGUGAGGUCUUGCACCCUGCAGUGACAAAGUGACUGUGGACCUGAGAGUGAGAUAAAGCGAUGAGAACGCCGUCCCUUUCAUCUUCAAAACAGUGAUCCUGUAUUUUGACUGAAUAUCAGAAAGGUCCUGCUUUAAAAUCCUCAUGUCAAAGUUGACUUUUUAAGAACUAGUCUUUUUUUCAUUAUAUCGUAUAAAGAGCAGUUAGUUUUUCCAUGGUGGCGUUUUACCUGCAGAGUUUGUUUCUGAUUUCUUACUACCCUUCCUCAUGGCCUAAGAUGUAUGUUGGGGUUUGUACUCCAUGUAAGUUUUGCCCAUCAACCUCUGUUAUCUUCCACAUUAACAGUAGGAUAUUAAAAAAAAUAUUUCUCAUAAUUUCUGGUUCCUUCAAUUAACUCUAAUGUUUAAUGAAUUUCAUUCAAGUUCCUAUGGAAUAUUGUUGGAAAGCUUGUGAAAAGAGCUAAAAAAAGCAAAAGAGGCAAUAAUGUGCAGAGUGAAGCUCACCAGAAUUUACUAGCUGUGUCAGACUUCUAGGUCGGCUAAUUAACAGUGUAACUGGGCUGUAACCAGAUGAUCUCUAUGAUACGACAAGCAGCAUGUGAGCAGCAAUAAUAGCAGUAGACUAACUUCAGAAUGCUAAAAACUGUCACCAGAGCUGGUUACAGCUCACAUCUGCAAAUGCAAAAAGUUGUAUGGAGACAAUGGCGCACAGGAAGACUUGCUAGGCUAUGGAUUAAGCCAAUUAUUUAGAGAAGAUGGUGUGCUCAAGGAAAGCUCAAAACUUGAAAGCAGAGAUUAGGUGCCUUUCUAAGGAGAAUAGGUGGAGGGACAAGAUUUGAGGAAAAAAAACCUGCUGAAGAAAAUGUUCCAGUUACUGUGAAAACAGAAAAGGAGGGGGGUAAUAAAAGAAUGAAGCCUAUCUAGUUUCAAAAUUUGGCUGAAGAAAAAGAAGUAGUAAAAAUCACUACUACAGAUGAGAUCCAAAGAUAAUCUUACGGGAUGUAGAAAGAUCUGUACUGUAUCCUGCAACUAUCAGAAACCACAUGGGAAAGAAGAUUUUUUAAGAAGCAGUUUAAAAGACAAAGUGGAGAUUUGGAGGUGUCCAGCUAGAGCUAUGGUUGAUGUUCAGGUAGGAAGUUCUCAAAAUGUCCUGAAUUCCAGGCUUAUAUCUGUCUGUCAAUGCAGUCUAUGCUACAGCUGCUCAACACUGAUGAAGAAACUCUCUGAAUCUCUGAACCUUUUGUUUUCUCCAUCUCCUACUAGUAGCAGGUGAUGAGGAAAACACAGUUAGGAGUUCUCUUUCUGAUGAAGCUUUUGAGUUCUCCGUGCAUAAGCACUUUGUCUGUGACAUGAAAACUACUCCCCAGCAUCUGGACACAACUCAGGCAAGAUUUUUCCUGUAGGUUUUUGGUUAACAAGUUGGGCUGAUGUACCUUCACCUCAGCUGUAAAUGAAUCCUCUCUUGGCACUUGUACAGUGUGCCAUUCCCAGGAAGAUUUGGGAGUUUGUUGGCAUGUCCUGCCCCUGGCUCACAUAUUCCCUGGCAUCACUCUGACAUUCCUACAACAAUUUAUAUCCCCAGCAGAUCACUUCCCAAGUAAAUAUGGCAUAGCAGCUCAGAGGGUGGUCGAGGACUGCUCAAUACAUUCAUCUGGAUAUAUGCAGAUCUAAAGUGCUCUUUUUCUGUGCCUUGGUGCUUUGCCACCAACCAAAAAUUCCCGCUCUCCCUCCUGCUGUGAUCUUCCUCCCACAGACCAGCCUUGCUGGUGAUUUUGUCUUGCUCCUCCCUUCCCCAGCAAGCUUCUUGCUCUGACAAAUUCUCCCUUGGCUACAAUAGCUCCUGCCGGGUUCCUCCCAGUCUGUGGUCAUGGUUGCUGGGGUGGAUGUGAGCAUACCUGGCUCCAAGGCCACAAACUCUCCCUUUGCACCCCUAACAGCCCAGGAACUGCUUCAAAUUCAUGAAUCCAUCCUGCAUAUAAUUUGAAAGUGCACUUUCUUCAGAGGAAAAAUAAAUUGCAAGAAGGAAAGCGUCUCUACCUGAAACCAAGCCUGUGUUGUUUUGGGAGUGGAAAAGAAUCCCUAAACAAGAUGACAAAAACACACAGUAUAUUAUUUUGAUUACAGUUGUUCAAACUGAAUAUUUUUACAGAUCUGAAAAUAAUUAAAGGGA